This is an RNA transcript of Drosophila miranda, 856 nucleotides long. RefSeq lists it as uncharacterized. The transcript has 5 exons. Lineage: Eukaryota; Metazoa; Arthropoda; Insecta; Diptera; Drosophilidae. The record is from RefSeq and is a predicted model, not a curated record.
UUCGUACUGGCGUUUUCCAGCACUGGCCGAAAAUCAGCUGUGCCAAAAGCAGAUUUCUUUGAAAGCCAUUUUGCAACACAAGAGAACAGACUCGUGUUAAGUUAAAGUUCAAUUACAACUCAUUAUAUUCGAGGAGGCACAUGCUACUCCCUAAAAAUCGUGUCCCACUGGAGGGCACAAGGCAAAGACGAGUCUCCUCCCUCCUCCUCCAGCCACGACUGGCACCAUCGCAUACUGGAGACUGGAGAGUGGAGUCUGGAGAGUGGAUCAUCAAUGUGCUGGCCUGUGGAGAGGAAAGCCCCAUCGACUUAUGCAGUGGAGAGGAAAACUAUAAAGUCCUGGACUUUGUGCGGGAGCAGAAGCUGGCAGCCGCCAUCAAGGUAAUCGGCUGUCUGUCCGGAGCGGGCUUCACGCUGUCUGGCGCCAUGCUGCUGGCUGGCAUUCUGAAGGGAUCGCGGUGCUUGGUCUGCUCCUCCAUAAUUGUCUGCGGCCUGAGCACACUCGCCAUCCACUGGAUGAUCAUCCCGCUGGCGCUGUACAUCAUCUUCUCAAUAGCCGCUUAUACCUAUCUAAAAACCGAAAUGGAUGCGGACAGGGAACACUACGAGGACUUGGAUCCGAGGGUAUAGUCCUGCCUUUCUCUGGGAGAAAGGUGAAAGAUAGCAAAUUCCACCGAGUGUCCAGCAUGGCUGCAGAAUUUGGGGAGCAGAACUAAAGGUUGCAGAGGCUGCCAAAAAGCCUGUCGAUUCAAGCACACAGCUCGUCAGUGGACGUCGGAUAACGAAGAGGUGCGUGUGAGCACUCAAAGGGAAGCAAAUAAACCAAACAAUUGAUCUAAAUGUGGACUCUUUUCCUU